Long non-coding RNA from Peromyscus eremicus (cactus mouse), 429 nucleotides. RefSeq lists it as uncharacterized. The record is from RefSeq and is a predicted model, not a curated record. The transcript has 2 exons. NCBI's taxonomy places the organism in Eukaryota, Metazoa, Chordata, Mammalia, Rodentia, Cricetidae.
UUAGAAUCCUCAUUUGGAAAACAGCAAGGAUGGAUUUGGGGCACAAAUGCUGAUGAUGAGGAGGAUGAAGCCAUCGCCAUGAGAAACACAGGCAGAACAAGAGAGGAUAUGUUUUUUUUUUUUCUCCAGAAAAAACUGGAGAUGUAAAGUCAAUGGACUUUGUAGGUCAGUUGGAAGAGAUGGCAAAAGACAGAGAGAGGAGGAAGAUGGUGGGUGCUUUGAGGGUGAGAGGACAUGAGACAUGGAGAGACAGGAGACAUGGAAUGGGAAGACAAUCAGUGUUCUGUCACACUGAGUUUGGGGCUCCCGAGAAACCGUCAUGAGGAACUGUGCCAGUUACAGGAAAAACUGUGCUGUCUGGUCCAAAAAGCUUAUCCACAUGAACUGAAGCACGAAGAAGACAAAUAAACUCUCUUCUGAUGUCAAAAA